GGAUUGUAGCUCAGUGGUAGAGUGCUUGCCUAGCACGUGUGAGGCAGUGGGUUCAAUACUCAGCACCA
This 68-nucleotide transfer RNA is filed under the name Marmota monax (woodchuck). Its description in RNAcentral is "tRNA.Ala". The record is from RNAcentral. Lineage: Eukaryota; Metazoa; Chordata; Mammalia; Rodentia; Sciuridae.